This 244-nucleotide ribosomal RNA is filed under the name uncultured bacterium. RNAcentral's name for it is "partial small subunit ribosomal RNA". It matches the Rfam family "Bacterial small subunit ribosomal RNA", at positions 26 to 285 of the family's 1533-position model. The record is from RNAcentral.
AGAAUCAACGCUGGCGGCGUGCCUAACACAUGCAAGUCGAACGAGAAAGUGGAGCAAUCCAUGAGUAAAGUGGCGACCGGGUGAGUAACACGUGACUAACCUACCUUCAAGUGGGGGAUAACCUCGUGAAACCGAGGCUAAUACCGCAUAAUAUCGCAAGAUCAAAGCAGCAAUGCGCUGGAAGAGGGGGUCGCGGCUGAUUAGCUAGUUGGCGGGUAACGGCCCACCAAGACGAUGAUCGGUA